UGACCAUCAAUGCGCCCGCGGAUGCCGUGACCAGCAGUGCCACGAUCAAUCCGACGAGUCCGGGUUCACGCCACUCACUUGACGACCAGAUGAACGCCGACACGAUGGCUGCAGCAGAAGGACUGGGCAGGCCUUCGAAGUACCGCUUGUCCUGCGCGGAACGGGUGUUGAAACGCGCCAGGCGCAGCGCCGCGCAAACGGCAUAGAAGAACGCGGCAAGCCAGCCUGCCCGGCCCCACUCCAUGCCGUAUUCGAACAACCGUGCCACGCCCCACUGGUAGGCAACGAUCGCCGGAGCGACCCCGAAGGAGACCAUGUCCGCGAGGCUGUCGUAUUCCUUUCCAAACGCACUCUCUGUUCUCGUCAUGCGCGCGACCCGCCCGUCAAGCGUGUCGAACACCAUGGCCGCGAACACGGCGAACCCGGCGCGUUCAAAGUUGCCGUCGAUCGCCGCGACAAUGGCGUAGAAGCCCGAGAACAGGCAGCCCGUUGUCAGCAGGUUUGGCAGCAGGUAGAUGGUGCGGCUGCGCGGGCGUUCGAUUUCCGGUUCCGGUUUGAUUUCUGGUUCCAUGAGUGCCGCGAUCAUAGGGCCAGCACUGCCGCGCCACAAUGAUGCUGCGCGGCGGCCCGCGUGCGGUGCUGCUAGACUUCGCGGCAUGCGAAUGUCCCGAUAUCCCCUCAAUACCGCGAAGGAAACCCCGGCUGAAGCGGAAGUCAUCAGCCACAAGCUGAUGCUGCGCGCGGGCCUGAUCCGCCGCCUUGCGGCCGGCAUCUAUACCUUCCUGCCCAUGGGCCUGCGCGCCCUGCGCAAGGUGGAGCGCAUCAUCCGCGAGGAAAUGGACCGGGCCGGCGCACUGGAGUUGCUGAUGCCUGCCGUGCAGCCAGCCGAGUUGUGGCAGGAGUCCGGACGCUGGGAACAGUACGGUCCGGAGCUGCUGCGCCUGAAGGACCGCCAUGACCGCGACUUCGUGAUCGGUCCCACCCACGAGGAGGUCAUCACGGACAUUGCCCGCCGUGACCUCAAGAGCUAUCGCCAGCUACCCGUCAAUUUCUACCAGAUCCAGA
Molecule: unclassified non-coding RNA, 1065 nt
Filed under: uncultured fungus
Lineage: Eukaryota; Fungi
Description: sequence contains 18S rRNA gene, ITS1, 5.8S rRNA gene, ITS2, 28S rRNA gene
Source: RNAcentral